CCUACGGGGGACAGCAGUAGGGAAUAUUGCUCAAUGGGGGAAACCCUGAAGCAGCAACGCCGCGUGGAGGAUGAAGGUUUUCGGAUUGUAAACUCCUUUUGUUAGAGAAGAUAAUGACGGUAUCUAACGAAUAAGCACCGGCUAACUCCGUGCCAGCAGCCGCGGUAAUACGGAGGGUGCAAACGUUACUCGGAAUCACUGGGCGUAAGGAGCGCGUAGGCGGGAUAGUAAGUCAGAUGUGAAAUCCUAUGGCUUAACCAUAGAACUGCAUUUGAAACUGUGAUUCUAGAGUAUGGGAGAGGUAGGUGGAAUUCUUGGUGUAGGGGUAAAAUCCGUAGAGAUCAAGAGGAAUACUCAUUGCGAAGGCGACCUGCUAGAACAUAACUGACGCUGAUGCGCGAAAGCGUGGGGAGCAAACAGGAUUAGAUACCCGAGUAGUC
This 440-nucleotide ribosomal RNA is filed under the name uncultured bacterium. RNAcentral's name for it is "partial 16S ribosomal RNA". It matches the Rfam family "Bacterial small subunit ribosomal RNA", at positions 338 to 795 of the family's 1533-position model. The record is from RNAcentral.